GACGAACGCUGGCGGCGUGCCUAAUACAUGCAAGUCGAACGCAGUGGGGACGGUUUAGUAACACGUGGGUAACCUCCCAUCAGAGGGGAUAACACUUGGAAACACGUGCUAAACCGAUAUUGAUUGAUGGACCCGCGGGGCAUUAGCUAGUGGGUGGGGUAACGGCUCACCAAGGCCACGAUGCAUAGCCGACCUGAGAGGGUGAUCAGCCACACUGGGACUGAGACACGGCCCAGACUCCUACGGGAGGCAGCAGUGGGGAAUCUUGGGCAAUGGACGAAAGCCUGACGGAGCAACGCCGCGUGAGUGAAGAAGGUUUUCGGGUCGUAAAGCUCUGUUGUUAGAGAAGCGGUAUCUAACCAGAAAGCAACGGCUAACUACGUGCCAGCAGCCGCGGUAAUUC
This 403-nucleotide ribosomal RNA is filed under the name uncultured bacterium. Its description in RNAcentral is "partial 16S ribosomal RNA". It matches the Rfam family "Bacterial small subunit ribosomal RNA", at positions 28 to 526 of the family's 1533-position model. The record is from RNAcentral.